This 1491-nucleotide ribosomal RNA is filed under the name uncultured bacterium. RNAcentral's name for it is "16S ribosomal RNA". It matches the Rfam family "Bacterial small subunit ribosomal RNA". The record is from RNAcentral.
AGAGUUUGAUCCUGGCUCAGGACGAACGCUGGCGGCGUGCCUAACACAUGCAAGUCGAGCGAAGCGUAAGCAUUAGCUUGCUAAAGCUUAUGACUGAGCGGCGAACGGGUGAGUAACACGUGGGUAAUCUACCUGGAAGUCUGGGAUAACAGUUGGAAACGGCUGCUAAUACCGGAUGAAAUUGGUGAUAUAGAGUCAUCGAUCAAAGCGUUACGGAGUGCUUUCAGAUGAGCCCGCGUCCCAUUAGUUAGUUGGUAGGGUAAAGGCCUACCAAGGCGACGAUGGGUAGCCGGUCUGAGAGGAUGGUCGGCCACACUGGAACUGAGACACGGUCCAGACCCCUACGGGAGGCAGCAGUGGGGAAUUUUGCGCAAUGGGGGCAACCCUGACGCAGCGACGCCGCGUGAGCGAUGAAGGCCUUCGGGUUGUAAAGCUCUGUUGAGGGGGAAGAUAGUGACGGUACCCCUUAAGAAAGCCCCGGCUAACUACGUGCCAGCAGCCGCGGUAAGACGUAGGGGGCGAGCGUUGUCCGGAAUUACUGGGCGUAAAGGGCGUGUAGGCGGCCUAUCAAGUCAGCUGUGAAAUUCCCCGGCUCAACCGGGGGUCUGCAGUUGAAACUGGUGGGCUUGAGUGCAGGAGAGGAAGGUGGAAUUCCCGGUGUAGCGGUGAAAUGCGUAGAUAUCGGGAGGAACACCGGUGGCGAAGGCGGCUUCUGGCCUGUAACUGACGCUGAGGCGCGAAAGCUAGGGGAGCAAACAGGAUUAGAUACCCUGGUAGUCCUAGCUGUAAACGCUGGGUAAUAGGUGUAGGGGGUUUAGACGCUCUCUGUGCCGUAGUUAACGCAUUAAGUACCCCGCCUGGGGAGUACGAUCGCAAGGUUGAAACUCAAAGGAAUUGACGGGGGCCCGCACAAGCGGUGGGGCAUGUGGUUUAAUUCGACGCAACGCGAAGAACCUUACCAGGGCUUGACAUCUGCCUGACGCUAAUUAGAGAUAGUUAGCUUCUUUCGGGACAGGCAGACAGGUGGUGCAUGGUUGUCGUCAGCUCGUGUCGUGAGAUGUUGGGUUAAGUCCCGCAACGAGCGCAACCCUUAUUCUUAGUUGCCAGCAGGUUAAGCUGGGCACUCUAAGGAGACUGCCGGUGACAAACCGGAGGAAGGUGGGGAUGACGUCAAAUCAUCAUGCCCUUUAUGUCCUGGGCUACACACGUGCUACAAUGGCCGGUACAACGGGUUGCGAGACAGCGAUGUUUAGCCAAUCCCUUAAAGCCGGUCUCAGUUCGGAUUGCAGGCUGCAACUCGCCUGCAUGAAGUCGGAAUCGCUAGUAAUCGCGAAUCAGCACGUCGCGGUGAAUACGUUCCCGGGCCUUGUACACACCGCCCGUCACACCACGAAAGCUGGCAACACCCGAAGCCGGUGGGCUAACCGCAAGGAGGCAGCCGUCUAAGGUGGGGUUAGUGAUUGGGGUGAAGUCGUAACAAGGUAGCCGUAG